RNAcentral lists this unclassified non-coding RNA (154 nucleotides) under rhizosphere metagenome. RNAcentral's name for it is "partial ribosomal RNA internal transcribed spacer region". The record is from RNAcentral.
GAUUGACCUUUGGGUCGUUUUCGAACACACACACACACCGUGAACCGUUUCCCCACGUCUCUCGGGACGGGGGAUUACCACCUUAAACAUUGUAUACCAGAACGUCAAUUUGAUAAAAACAAACAAAACUUUCAACAACGGAUCUCUUGGCUCU